This 788-nucleotide ribosomal RNA is filed under the name uncultured bacterium. RNAcentral describes it as "bacterial SSU rRNA". It matches the Rfam family "Bacterial small subunit ribosomal RNA", at positions 49 to 849 of the family's 1533-position model. The record is from RNAcentral.
CGACGGAACUUAGUUGAAGGAAUUCUUCGGAAGGACAUUGGUUAAGUUUAGUGGCGGACGGGUGAGUAACGCGUGAGUAACCUGCCUCCGAGAGGGGAAUAACAAUCUGAAAAGAUUGCUAAUACCGCAUAACAUAGCGAAGUCGCAUGGCAGCGCUAUCAAAGAUUUAUCGCUCGGAGAUGGACUCGCGUCCGAUUAGUUAGUUGGUGAGGUAACGGCUCACCAAGACCGCGAUCGGUAGCCGGACUGAGAGGUUGAACGGCCACAUUGGGACUGAGACACGGCCCAGACUCCUACGGGAGGCAGCAGUGGGGGAUAUUGCGCAAUGGGGGAAACCCUGACGCAGCAACGCCGCGUGAAGGAUGAAGGUUUUCGGAUUGUAAACUUCUUUUAUUAAGGACGAAAAAAUGACGGUACUUAAUGAAUAAGCUCCGGCUAACUACGUGCCAGCAGCCGCGGUAAUACGUAGGGAGCAAGCGUUGUCCGGAUUUACUGGGUGUAAAGGGUGCGUAGGCGGCUUUGCAAGUCAGAUGUGAAAUCUAUGGGCUCAACCCAUAAACUGCAUUUGAAACUGUAGAGCUUGAGUGAAGUAGAGGCAGGCGGAAUUCCCCGUGUAGCGGUGAAAUGCGUAGAGAUGGGGAGGAACACCAGUGGCGAAGGCGGCCUGCUGGGCUUUAACUGACGCUGAGGCACGAAAGCGUGGGUAGCAAACAGGAUUAGAUACCCUGGUAGUCCACGCUGUAAACGAUGAUUACUAGGUGUGGGGGGUCUGACCCCUUCCGUGCCGG